UCCACGCUGUAAACGAUGAGUACUAGCUAUUGGAUUCGGUGUAAAGGAUCUAGUGGCGCAGCUAACGCGUUAAGUACUCCGCCUGGGGACUACGGCCGCAAGGCUAAAACUCAAAGGAAUUGACGGGGACCCGCACAAGCGGUGGAGCAUGUGGUUUAAUUCGAUGCAACGCGAAGAACCUUACCUGGUCUUGACAUCCUGAGAACUUUCUAGAGAUAGUUUGGUGCCUUCGGGAACUCAGUGACAGGUGCUGCACGGCUGUCGUCAGCUCGUGUUGUGAAAUGUUGGGUUAAGUCCCG
This 299-nucleotide ribosomal RNA is filed under the name uncultured bacterium. RNAcentral describes it as "partial 16S ribosomal RNA". It matches the Rfam family "Bacterial small subunit ribosomal RNA", at positions 794 to 1089 of the family's 1533-position model. The record is from RNAcentral.